Pseudonaja textilis is the source of this 162-nucleotide non-coding RNA. Lineage: Eukaryota; Metazoa; Chordata; Lepidosauria; Squamata; Elapidae. The record is from RefSeq and is a predicted model, not a curated record.
UUGUUUUUUUAAUAUUUUCAUUGGUUGAAGUUUUACAGUCUUAAAACGAUUUUAUAUAUCAUUUAAUUUUUGGCUGGGAGCUACCCAGAGUUGGUUGAAAGAUGGGCUGCUAUAUAAGUGUUUUAAAUAAAUAAAUGAAAAUCAUAAAAUCAUAUCUCCAAC